RNAcentral lists this ribosomal RNA (2834 nucleotides) under Salmonella enterica subsp. enterica serovar Typhimurium. RNAcentral's name for it is "partial 23S ribosomal RNA". It matches the Rfam family "Bacterial large subunit ribosomal RNA". The record is from RNAcentral. Lineage: Bacteria; Pseudomonadati; Pseudomonadota; Gammaproteobacteria; Enterobacterales; Enterobacteriaceae.
AAUCCAUAGGUUAAUGAGGCGAACCGGGGGAACUGAAACAUCUAAGUACCCCGAGGAAAAGAAAUCAACCGAGAUUCCCCCAGUAGCGGCGAGCGAACGGGGAGGAGCCCAGAGCCUGAAUCAGCAUGUGUGUUAGUGGAAGCGUCUGGAAAGGCGCGCGAUACAGGGUGACAGCCCCGUACACAAAAGCGCAUGUGCUGUGAGCUCGAUGAGUAGGGCGGGACACGUGGUAUCCUGUCUGAAUAUGGGGGGACCAUCCUCCAAGGCUAAAUACUCCUGACUGACCGAUAGUGAACCAGUACCGUGAGGGAAAGGCGAAAAGAACCCCGGCGAGGGGAGUGAAAAAGAACCUGAAACCGUGUACGUACAAGCAGUGGGAGCACCCUUCGGGGUGUGACUGCGUACCUUUUGUAUAAUGGGUCAGCGACUUAUAUUCUGUAGCAAGGUUAACCGUAUAGGGGAGCCGGAGGGAAACCGAGUCUUAACCGGGCGUUAAGUUGCAGGGUAUAGACCCGAAACCCGGUGAUCUAGCCAUGGGCAGGUUGAAGGUUGGGUAACACUAACUGGAGGACCGAACCGACUAAUGUUGAAAAAUUAGCGGAUGACCUGUGGCUGGGGGUGAAAGGCCAAUCAAACCGGGAGAUAGCUGGUUCUCCCCGAAAGCUAUUUAGGUAGCGCCUCGUGAAUUCAUCUCCGGGGGUAGAGCACUGUUUCGGCUAGGGGGCCAUCCCGGCUUACCAACCCGAUGCAAACUGCGAAUACCGGAGAAUGUUAUCACGGGAGACACACGGCGGGUGCUAACGUCCGUCGUGAAGAGGGAAACAACCCAGACCGCCAGCUAAGGUCCCAAAGUCAUGGUUAAGUGGGAAACGAUGUGGGAAGGCCCAGACAGCCAGGAUGUUGGCUUAGAAGCAGCCAUCAUUUAAAGAAAGCGUAAUAGCUCACUGGUCGAGUCGGCCUGCGCGGAAGAUGUAACGGGGCUAAACCAUGCACCGAAGCUGCGGCAGCGAACGUAUCACCCAAGACAACUUUACGGAGUUGACGAUUGACGGAGCGAAGCGACGUCAAAGCGUUCAUUAAAGUCGAGUUGGCUUAGGGAUACGUUCGUUGGGUAGGGGAGCGUUCUGUAAGCCUGUGAAGGUGUGUCGUGAGGCAUGCUGGAGGUAUCAGAAGUGCGAAUGCUGACAUAAGUAACGAUAAAGCGGGUGAAAAGCCCGCUCGCCGGAAGACCAAGGGUUCCUGUCCAACGUUAAUCGGGGCAGGGUGAGUCGACCCCUAAGGCGAGGCCGAAAGGCGUAGUCGAUGGGAAACGGGUUAAUAUUCCCGUACUUGGUGUUACUGCGAAGGGGGGACGGAGAAGGCUAUGUUGGCCGGGCGACGGUUGUCCCGGUUUAAGCGUGUAGGUGUGUGUUCCAGGUAAAUCCGGUUCACUUUAACACUGAGGCGUGACGACGAGGCACUACGGUGCUGAAGCAACAAAUGCCCUGCUUCCAGGAAAAGCCUCUAAGCAUCAGGUAACAUCAAAUCGUACCCCAAACCGACACAGGUGGUCAGGUAGAGAAUACCAAGGCGCUUGAGAGAACUCGGGUGAAGGAACUAGGCAAAAUGGUGCCGUAACUUCGGGAGAAGGCACGCUGACACGUAGGUGAAGUGAUUUACUCAUGGAGCUGAAGUCAGUCGAAGAUACCAGCUGGCUGCAACUGUUUAUUAAAAACACAGCACUGUGCAAACACGAAAGUGGACGUAUACGGUGUGACGCCUGCCCGGUGCCGGAAGGUUAAUUGAUGGGGUCAGCGCAAGCGAAGCUCCUGAUCGAAGCCCCGGUAAACGGCGGCCGUAACUAUAACGGUCCUAAGGUAGCGAAAUUCCUUGUCGGGUAAGUUCCGACCUGCACGAAUGGCGUAAUGAUGGCCAGGCUGUCUCCACCCGAGACUCAGUGAAAUUGAACUCGCUGUGAAGAUGCAGUGUACCCGCGGCAAGACGGAAAGACCCCGUGAACCUUUACUAUAGCUUGACACUGAACAUUGAGCCUUGAUGUGUAGGAUAGGUGGGAGGCUUUGAAGUGUGGACGCCAGUCUGCAUGGAGCCGACCUUGAAAUACCACCCUUUAAUGUUUGAUGUUCUAACGUGGACCCGUAAUCCGGGUUGCGGACAGUGUCUGGUGGGUAGUUUGACUGGGGCGGUCUCCUCCUAAAGAGUAACGGAGGAGCACGAAGGUUGGCUAAUCCUGGUCGGACAUCAGGAGGUUAGUGCAAUGGCAUAAGCCAGCUUGACUGCGAGCGUGACGGCGCGAGCAGGUGCGAAAGCAGGUCAUAGUGAUCCGGUGGUUCUGAAUGGAAGGGCCAUCGCUCAACGGAUAAAAGGUACUCCGGGGAUAACAGGCUGAUACCGCCCAAGAGUUCAUAUCGACGGCGGUGUUUGGCACCUCGAUGUCGGCUCAUCACAUCCUGGGGCUGAAGUAGGUCCCAAGGGUAUGGCUGUUCGCCAUUUAAAGUGGUACGCGAGCUGGGUUUAGAACGUCGUGAGACAGUUCGGUCCCUAUCUGCCGUGGGCGCUGGAGAACUGAGGGGGGCUGCUCCUAGUACGAGAGGACCGGAGUGGACGCAUCACUGGUGUUCGGGUUGUCAUGCCAAUGGCACUGCCCGGUAGCUAAAUGCGGAAGAGAUAAGUGCUGAAAGCAUCUAAGCACGAAACUUGCCCCGAGAUGAGUUCUCCCUGAGACUUAGAGUCUCCUGAAGGAACGUUGAAGACGACGACGUUGAUAGGCCGGGUGUGUAAGCGCAGCGAUGCGUUGAGCUAACCGGUACUAAUGAACCGUGAGGCUUAACCUUACA